AAGAAUUAUUUAGUUUUGGGUGCUUUAUUAGCGUAAAAGGGAACCUCGUGAAAUUCGGGGACGAGCCCGUCGCUGUAACCGGGGACAAAUUUCAUACUACGGCCACUGGGGUAAACCUGGGAAGGCGUGAAAAAUGGAUGAACCGGAAGUCAGAAGACCUACCUGAAAUGUGAGAUACGG
This 180-nucleotide non-coding RNA is filed under the name Desulfobulbaceae bacterium. The record is from RNAcentral. Lineage: Bacteria; Pseudomonadati; Thermodesulfobacteriota; Desulfobulbia; Desulfobulbales; Desulfobulbaceae.